This 186-nucleotide ribosomal RNA is filed under the name uncultured Vibrio sp. RNAcentral describes it as "partial 16S ribosomal RNA". It matches the Rfam family "Bacterial small subunit ribosomal RNA", at positions 354 to 531 of the family's 1533-position model. The record is from RNAcentral. Lineage: Bacteria; Pseudomonadati; Pseudomonadota; Gammaproteobacteria; Vibrionales; Vibrionaceae.
GGCGUGAAUAUUGCACAAUGGGCGCAAGCCUGAUGCAGCCAUGCCGCGUGUGUGAAGAAGGCCUUCGGGUUGUAAAGCACUUUCAGUCGUGAGGAAGGGGGGGGAGUUAAUAGCUGCAUUAUUUGACGUUAGCGACAGAAGAAGCACCGGCUAACUCCGUGCCAGCAGCCGCGGUAAAUAAAAAAA